Long non-coding RNA from Parus major (Great Tit), 1508 nucleotides. Lineage: Eukaryota; Metazoa; Chordata; Aves; Passeriformes; Paridae. The record is from Ensembl.
GUUCUGUACAUGCAAACUAUAUAGAAUAAUAUAGUUGAGUUUAAUUCUUGAUUAUAUCCUGUGCAUGCCAUUGAAAUUAAUAUAUGUUAUACAAUAAUUGAAAUACAAAACAAAAAAUACAAACAUGUAUUUUCUGUCAGUAUUUUCCUUCAUUACUCCCGUUUUUAGUCUGAAGCAGAAUGUAUUUAGUUAAGGUCCUCAGCCAUUCAGUUUUUGGAAAGUGGCUUAGAUAAUUUACCUUGACCACAGCUAUGACAAAAAUAUCACCAAAAGGUUUAAAAAAUUGAUUAUCAGCAGUCAACCUUGUGAUGUUACCUAAACAAAAUCACUCAGUGCCAUCUAAAAUCCACUAGAUCAUCAUAAAACUCCCAUACAUUUGGAGCUGGAAGUUUCAACACAAAUAUAGAAUUCUUUAGGAGGUGAGUAAAUUCAAACUUUGAACCUUCAGUGACCUCAUUGGGCAGUGAAGGGCAGUGAAUCCAAAAUUCCUUAUUUACUUGUUACUUAUUUUUUUAUCCUUUCUUAAGGCAAGAUUGUUAAGAUUCUGGUCCAUCUCAACAGAUUCUCACUACCUCCUUGUGGUGAAACAUCCAUGUCUUAAGAGUUAAACAUACUGAACAAGAAGACAUCAUGAGACUGAGUAUGUUUAGACAACUGAAUUCCACUCGCAUUGCCUCCCUAGUAUCUCCGACCUUCUACAUGGUGCAGGAGCUGGCUAGCUCACCCACAGCUCUGCGCCAAGAGCAGGACACACCUUGGGAGCCAGCACAGUUUAGUUGUCAGGCACAAGUGGAGGUAAGGAUAAGGUCUUUUGUUUUGGGUUCUAAGGAAGGCUUUUUUGCUGGGAGGGUCCAAGGACAAAAGACAAAGAAAUUGGGUGUGCAGGAGCUUUUAUAGAGGGGAGGUCUCGGGGUGAGGGUACAAUCUUGAACCAAUAAGGAACAUACAGGGGAGGAGUACAUGGCGGGGUUUACAAUAUAGCAACCAAUGAGAACACACAAGGGGAGGGGAACAACUUACAUAAACCAAUGUGGCUGCGGGCAACAUAAAAUUGGCAUAGAAGUCUCUGGAACAAAGGGUUGGCACAAAGUGGGCCUGACAACUCCAUGGAAGGCGAGACAGGGAACUUUCUGGAUAAAAGGGGCACGUCUAGGUGACUUGAAAUAUGGUGCCCAGAAUUUGAGACAAGGCUGCAUCUGUGCCCUUACAAGGACUCGACAAAGAAGAAUCUAUUUUAUAUACUGCGAAGCAGACUAGGAAAUCAUUCCUGCUUCUUCCAGCUUUUGCUCUUCACUGCUUUCCAUCAACACCAAAAGUUUUCAUUUCAAGAGAGGUCAAAACAAUCAUCAGUUAGAUAUUCCGAUUCAGUUUUAUUCAUCUUGCUGUGUAUUAUACAUAAACAUAUAUACACUUGUUUUUACUUACUACUAGGUCCCCUGUCUAUUAAUUAAUUUUCUUUCUGCCUCCUAUUUUAUCUGUUUUAAUAAAACAAAAUUGUUUUAAAGACA